UACGGAGGGUGCGAGCGUUGUCCGGAAUCACUGGGCGUAAAGGGCGCGUAGGCGGCAUGCCAAGCGUGUGGUGAAAGCCCGGGGCUCAACCCCGGGUCGGCCGUGCGGACUGGCGUGCUCGAGCACUGCAGGGGAGACUGGAAUUCCUGGUGUAGCGGUGAAAUGCGCAGAUAUCAGGAGGAACACCGGUGGCGAAGGCGGGUCUCUGGGCAACAACUGACGCUGAGGAGCGAAAGCGUGGGGAGCGAACAGG
RNAcentral lists this ribosomal RNA (253 nucleotides) under uncultured bacterium. RNAcentral's name for it is "partial 16S ribosomal RNA". It matches the Rfam family "Bacterial small subunit ribosomal RNA", at positions 524 to 776 of the family's 1533-position model. The record is from RNAcentral.